UACGUAGGGGGCUAGCGUUGUCCGGAAUCAUUGGGCGUAAAGAGCGUGUAGGCGGCCCGGUAAGUCCGCUGUGAAAGUCGGGGGCUCAACCCUCGAAUGCCGGUGGAUACUGUCGGGCUAGAGUGCGGAAGAGGCGAGUGGAAUUCCUGGUGUAGCGGUGAAAUGCGCAGAUAUCAGGAGGAACACCAAUGGCGAAGGCAGCUCGCUGGAACGGUACUGACGCUGAGGCGCGAAAGCGUGGGGAGCGAACAGG
RNAcentral lists this ribosomal RNA (253 nucleotides) under uncultured bacterium. Its description in RNAcentral is "partial 16S ribosomal RNA". It matches the Rfam family "Bacterial small subunit ribosomal RNA", at positions 524 to 776 of the family's 1533-position model. The record is from RNAcentral.